This 215-nucleotide unclassified non-coding RNA is filed under the name Hevea brasiliensis (rubber tree). The record is from RNAcentral. Lineage: Eukaryota; Viridiplantae; Streptophyta; Magnoliopsida; Malpighiales; Euphorbiaceae.
GAAGAAAUAGAGAGCAUAGGGAAAGCGAAAACACAGAAAAGCAAAGGCAUCUCCUUUUCCUUCCUACUGUCUUUACAGGGCUUUCAGUUCUCCGUAGUUCUGUAGAGAGAGAGAAAGAGGGGAGAGAGACGCGGUGUUGUGUCUUUGGUAUAAGUAAGAAAUGCAGCAGCACCUGAUGCAGAUGCAGCCCAUGAUGGCAGCCUAUUAUCCCAACG